RNAcentral lists this ribosomal RNA (890 nucleotides) under uncultured bacterium. RNAcentral describes it as "bacterial SSU rRNA". It matches the Rfam family "Bacterial small subunit ribosomal RNA", at positions 28 to 918 of the family's 1533-position model. The record is from RNAcentral.
GAUGAACGCUAGCGGCAGGCUUAACACAUGCAAGUCGAGGGGCAGCAUAGUCUUCGGACUGAUGGCGACCGGCGCACGGGUGCGUAACGCGUAUGCAAUCUACCUCUGACAGGGGGAUAGCCCCGAGAAAUCGGGAUUAAUACCCCAUAAAAUUUGUUAAUGGCAUCAUUGACAAAUCAAAGCUCCGACGGUCAGAGAUGAGCAUGCGUCCCAUUAGCUAGUUGGUGAGGUAACGGCUCACCAAGGCAACGAUGGGUAGGGGUUCUGAGAGGAUGAUCCCCCACACUGGUACUGAGACACGGACCAGACUCCUACGGGAGGCAGCAGUGAGGAAUAUUGGGCAAUGGACGCAAGUCUGACCCAGCCAUGCCGCGUGCAGGAUGACGGCCCUAUGGGUUGUAAACUGCUUUUGUAUGGGAAGAAUUCCUUUUACGGGUAAAAGGAUGACGGUACUGUACGAAUAAGCAUCGGCUAACUCCGUGCCAGCAGCCGCGGUAAUACGGAGGAUGCAAGCGUUAUCCGGAUUUAUUGGGUUUAAAGGGUGCGUAGGCGGAAUUGUAAGUCAGUGGUGAAAUCUUACGGCUCAACCGUAAAAUUGCCAUUGAUACUGCAGAUCUAGAGUUCAUUUGACGUGGGCGGAAUGUAGCAUGUAGCGGUGAAGUGCUUAGAUAUGCUACAGAACACCGAUUGCGAAGGCAGCUCACGAAACUGAGACUGACGCUGAUGCACGAAAGCGUGGGGAGCAAACAGGAUUAGAUACCCUGGUAGUCCACGCUGUAAACGAUGAUCACUCGCUGUUGGCGAUAUACAGUCAGCGGCCAAGCGAAAGUAUUAAGUGAUCCACCCUGGGGAGUACGCUCGCAAGAGUGAAACUCAAGGAAUUGACGGGG